Molecule: ribosomal RNA, 963 nt
Filed under: Alexandrium catenella
Lineage: Eukaryota; Dinophyceae; Gonyaulacales; Pyrocystaceae
Description: partial large subunit ribosomal RNA
Rfam family: Eukaryotic large subunit ribosomal RNA
Source: RNAcentral
GGAGCUAUUGGCUUUGAAUUGUAUUGUGGAAAUGUAUUACCAACAGAGGUGCAGGUGCCAGCCUAUUGAAAUAAAGCGUCAAUGAGGGUGAGAAUCCUGUUUGUCAUGUGCAGCCCUUUGUGCACGGUGUAUAUUUGCUGAGUCACACUCCUUGGCAUUGGAAUGCAAAGUGGGUGGUAAGUUUCAUGUAAAGGUAAACAUGCAAUUGAGACUGAUAGCACACAAGUACCAUGAGGGAAAUAUGAAAAGGACUUUGAAAAGAGAAUUAAAUGAGUUUGUAUUUGCUGAACACAAAGUAAACAGACUUGAUUUGCUUGGUGGGAGUGUUGCACUUGCUUGACAAGAGCUUUGGGCUGUGGGUGUAAUGAUUCUUUCUUUGCAUGCCAGUUUCUAUUUGUACAUCUGAUUACCUUUGCACAUGAAUGAUAAGUCUCCUGUGGGGGGUGGAUUGCAUGUGCAUGUAAUGAUUUGUGUUUUGAUAAAUGUGUCUGGUGUAUGUGUGUGUUCCUGUGCUUGGGGAUGCUUCCUUCCUUGGACUUACAAGCCCUGACACACACAUGCUGGCAAAAUGCUUCUGCUUGACCCGUCUUGAAACACGGACCAAGGAGUCUAACAGAUGUGCAAAGUUUGAAGGUGGUAUACCUUUGUGUGCAAUGAAAGUGUCAGCUGGGAUAUGUGCACCAGCACCCAAUUAAUUAGCGGACAGAGGUUUGAGUUGGAGCAUAUCUAUUAGGACCCGAAAGAUGGUGAACUAUGCCUGAACAGAAUGAAUUCAGAGGAAACUCUGAUGGAGGUUCGUAUCGAUACUGACGUGCAAAUCGUUCGUCAUAUUUGGGUAUAGGGGCGAAAGACUAAUCGAACCAUCUAGUAGCUGGUUCCCUCCGAAGUUUCCCUCAGGAUAGCUGGAGUUGCUCAGUUUUAUCAGGUAAAGCGAAUGAUUAGAGGAAUUGGGGACAGGUUUGU